GACGAACGCUGGCGGCGUGCCUAAUACAUGCAAGUUGAGCGCUGAAGGUUGGUACUUGUACCAACUGGAUGAGCAGCGAACGGGUGAGUAACGCGUGGGGAAUCUGCCUUUGAGCGGGGGACAACAUUUGGAAACGAAUGCUAAUACCGCAUAAAAACUUUAAACACAAGUUUUAAGUUUGAAAGAUGCAAUUGCAUCACUCAAAGAUGAUCCCGCGUUGUAUUAGCUAGUUGGAGAGGUAAAGGCUCACCAAGGCGAUGAUACAUAGCCGACCUGAGAGGGUGAUCGGCCACAUUGGGACUGAGACACGGCCCAAACUCCUACGGGAGGCAGCAGUAGGGAAUCUUCGGCAAUGGACGAAAGUCUGACCGAGCAACGCCGCGUGAGUGAAGAAGGUUUUCGGAUCGUAAAACUCUGUUGGUAGAGAAGAACGUUGGUGAGAGUGGAAAGCUCAUCAAGUGACGGUAACUACCCAGAAGGGGACGGCUAACUACGUG
This 497-nucleotide ribosomal RNA is filed under the name uncultured bacterium. RNAcentral's name for it is "partial 16S ribosomal RNA". It matches the Rfam family "Bacterial small subunit ribosomal RNA", at positions 28 to 507 of the family's 1533-position model. The record is from RNAcentral.